RNAcentral lists this ribosomal RNA (1540 nucleotides) under Klebsiella pneumoniae. Its description in RNAcentral is "bacterial SSU rRNA". It matches the Rfam family "Bacterial small subunit ribosomal RNA". Lineage: Bacteria; Pseudomonadati; Pseudomonadota; Gammaproteobacteria; Enterobacterales; Enterobacteriaceae. The record is from RNAcentral.
AAAUUGAAGAGUUUGAUCAUGGCUCAGAUUGAACGCUGGCGGCAGGCCUAACACAUGCAAGUCGAGCGGUAGCACAGAGAGCUUGCUCUCGGGUGACGAGCGGCGGACGGGUGAGUAAUGUCUGGGAAACUGCCUGAUGGAGGGGGAUAACUACUGGAAACGGUAGCUAAUACCGCAUAACGUCGCAAGACCAAAGUGGGGGACCUUCGGGCCUCAUGCCAUGAGAUGUGCCCAGAUGGGAUUAGCUAGUAGGUGGGGUAACGGCUCACCUAGGCGACGAUCCCUAGCUGGUCUGAGAGGAUGACCAGCCACACUGGAACUGAGACACGGUCCAGACUCCUACGGGAGGCAGCAGUGGGGAAUAUUGCACAAUGGGCGCAAGCCUGAUGCAGCCAUGCCGCGUGUGUGAAGAAGGCCUUCGGGUUGUAAAGCACUUUCAGCGGGGAGGAAGGCGGUGAGGUUAAUAACCUCAUCGAUUGACGUUACCCGCAGAAGAAGCACCGGCUAACUCCGUGCCAGCAGCCGCGGUAAUACGGAGGGUGCAAGCGUUAAUCGGAAUUACUGGGCGUAAAGCGCACGCAGGCGGUCUGUCAAGUCGGAUGUGAAAUCCCCGGGCUCAACCUGGGAACUGCAUUCGAAACUGGCAGGCUAGAGUCUUGUAGAGGGGGGUAGAAUUCCAGGUGUAGCGGUGAAAUGCGUAGAGAUCUGGAGGAAUACCGGUGGCGAAGGCGGCCCCCUGGACAAAGACUGACGCUCAGGUGCGAAAGCGUGGGGAGCAAACAGGAUUAGAUACCCUGGUAGUCCACGCCGUAAACGAUGUCGAUUUGGAGGUUGUGCCCUUGAGGCGUGGCUUCCGGAGCUAACGCGUUAAAUCGACCGCCUGGGGAGUACAGCCGCAAGGUUAAAACUCAAAUGAAUUGACGGGGGCCCGCACAAGCGGUGGAGCAUGUGGUUUAAUUCGAUGCAACGCGAAGAACCUUACCUGGUCUUGACAUCCACAGAACUUUCCAGAGAUGGAUUGGUGCCUUCGGGAACUGUGAGACAGGUGCUGCAUGGCUGUCGUCAGCUCGUGUUGUGAAAUGUUGGGUUAAGUCCCGCAACGAGCGCAACCCUUAUCCUUUGUUGCCAGCGGUUAGGCCGGGAACUCAAAGGAGACUGCCAGUGAUAAACUGGAGGAAGGUGGGGAUGACGUCAAGUCAUCAUGGCCCUUACGACCAGGGCUACACACGUGCUACAAUGGCAUAUACAAAGAGAAGCGACCUCGCGAGAGCAAGCGGACCUCAUAAAGUAUGUCGUAGUCCGGAUUGGAGUCUGCAACUCGACUCCAUGAAGUCGGAAUCGCUAGUAAUCGUAGAUCAGAAUGCUACGGUGAAUACGUUCCCGGGCCUUGUACACACCGCCCGUCACACCAUGGGAGUGGGUUGCAAAAGAAGUAGGUAGCUUAACCUUCGGGAGGGCGCUUACCACUUUGUGAUUCAUGACUGGGGUGAAGUCGUAACAAGGUAACCGUAGGGGAACCUGCGGUUGGAUCACCUCCUUA